RNAcentral lists this long non-coding RNA (1543 nucleotides) under Dasypus novemcinctus (nine-banded armadillo). RNAcentral's name for it is "lncRNA (ENSDNOG00000050786.1)". Lineage: Eukaryota; Metazoa; Chordata; Mammalia; Cingulata; Dasypodidae. The record is from RNAcentral.
GGGCACGAGUCCUUCUUUUCAAGGUUAGCAAUCUGCCACCGAGACAGACGCUCGAGGUCCGAAGCCAGAAGAGUUCCUCCACGCACACACUCGCUCCGAAACGUCGGUCCCCUGUUCACGGGGGGCAGCCACGCGCCGUAGGAGACUCUGCGAGGUGUCCUGGGAGCCGGCUGGCGCUGCGCGUGGUCUAGCGCUCUCCCUCUGCGCUCUCCCCUCGACCCUUUUGCUUUUUAUAGCUUCCCACUGUGGGUUUCUUUUUACCUCCGCCCCCAGUUCAAGAGUGACAAAGAGUGAAAACGCUGCUCUCCCCCACCCCUCCUCACGCCCCGUCCCCCUUCCUCUCAGCACACACUGCGCCCCCCCCCCCCCCCUUUCCUUCCUCGGCUUUCGGUCCUGCUUCUCCCGCUCUUCACCCUCCCGCUCCUCCUCCACCCUCACUGCUGAAUCUCGGUUCCACAAUUGGGAGCCUGAGGGCUCCUGAUUUCUGAAGACAGCUUCAGUCUGUGCAGGGACCUUUGAAAACAGGCGGAGGGCAAAUGUGGAAGUGGAGAGAAGCAAGCCACUUCGCCUCAAAACAUCCACCACCCUUGUUUGAGUCCCUGACGCCGAGAGAAGCGCUGGAAAAGCCCUACAGGAGCUUGAGAAAAGAAAAGGAAAUCCCAGGCAAGAAUGAGCAACGGCGGGGAGCUUCCUACAUCCUAGCUCCUGGGAAUUCCAUAAGAAACCUUUCCUGCCAGCCCACGAGUCGCCCAGAUCGGAUUAGCUUCUGUGAAGGUCGAAGGCAGUUACGGGAGGGAUUGGGGAGCGCGGCGCUUGGGGGCGCCAGUGGCAGCCGCGGCACCAAGUGCGGACGCGGUGCAGGACACACAAGCUGUCCCAGGCUAGCUCCAGGCUUGGAGAGGUUUGGCCACUUAGCAUCAAGGCUUCCAAAACAAUUUUAAGAUAGUCUCAUCCUUGCUGGGGGGAGGAGGGAGUGGGGGUGGGAGGAGAGUGGGAGAAGUGGGCGAGGGAAGGCGUUGUCCGGAAGUUGUUGCAUUUCUCCUUUUCAGGCACCGGGAAAUCGAGGCUGUGCACGUCGCGAUUUGGAGUUAAAAGGUGGCUGCUUGGCAAGGAGGAAAAGAGGCUGCUCCCUGUAUAGUCCUCUUUAGAAUUUUCGGACCUGGGUUUCUCAGCUUUCACACCUGGUCCUGGCAUACACUUGCACGUACAGGAGAACAUAUUUAACAUGUUGCCGCCAAGUGGGACCGUUCGUGACUCCUUUAUUUUCCGCUUAAGAGCAUGGAAUUUUAAAGUGUGUGUUUACAGCUGGUUUCUCCCUGGCAGUUCCUGUAUCCCACGUUUCUCUGCCCAGGACCUGUAAGUCUGUCUGCCCUGCAAAGUCCUGUAAUUCUUCCCUUUAACAAAGUUUUUAUAUUUAAAAAAUUUUUUUUAAAAUAAACAAACAGAAAUUAAAAUUUGAUGACCUGUCUAAGUUUUCUCAUAUUUAGAUCAUCUUGUGGCUUCUUAGAUUUUCACAUUUUAAAGGUGUUCCCACUUUUUAAAU